This 497-nucleotide ribosomal RNA is filed under the name uncultured bacterium. RNAcentral's name for it is "partial 16S ribosomal RNA". It matches the Rfam family "Bacterial small subunit ribosomal RNA", at positions 28 to 507 of the family's 1533-position model. The record is from RNAcentral.
GAUGAACGCUGGCGGCGUGCCUAAUACAUGCAAGUCGAGCGAACGGACGAGAAGCUCGCUUUUCUGAUGUUAGCGGCGGACGGGUGAGUAACACGUGGAUAACCUACCUAUAAGACUGGGAUAACUUCGGGAAACCGGAGCUAAUACCGGAUAAUAUUUUGAACCGCAUGGUUCAAAAGUGAAAGACGGUCUUCCUGUUACUUAUAGAUGGAUCCGCGCUGCAUUAGCUAGUUGGUAAGGUAACGGCUUACCAAGGCAACGAUGCAUAGCCGACCUGAGAGGGUGAUCGGCCACACUGGAACUGAGACACGGUCCAGACUCCUACGGGAGGCAGCAGUAGGGAAUCUUCCGCAAUGGGCGAAAGCCUGACGCAGAAACACCGCGUGAGUGAUGAAGGUCUUCGGAUCGUAAAGCUCUGUUAUUGGGGAAGAACAGAAGUGUAAUUAACUGUGCACGUCUUGACGGUACCUAAUCAAAAAGCAACGGCUAACUACGUG